Molecule: long non-coding RNA, 304 nt
Organism: Neltuma alba
Lineage: Eukaryota; Viridiplantae; Streptophyta; Magnoliopsida; Fabales; Fabaceae
Exons: 2
Source: RefSeq, a predicted model, not a curated record
UCCAAACAUAUCAAAAAUCUCAAAAAUCCCAUUAGAAGACAAGCCCUCGUCAUCAGCUGUGGAGAUCAAAUUAGAAAGUUAGAUAAUGAAGGGGUGAUGUGAGCUUUGGAUCUUCUAAUUUGUCUCUUUAUUUGCAUUUGUGUUUUACUGUGUUGUAUGUUUGUAAAAAUGUGUUGGAUUUGUAUUAUGUUGAAAAUGCACGAAAAUUUAGAUAUAACUCUACUUUGAAGUUAUGUAAUUAUAUUCAAUAUUGUACACAAAAUACAAUAAUUGCGUGGCGCUUGUGUGUGCUACUUAUUUUGUU